Arabidopsis thaliana (thale cress) is the source of this 299-nucleotide long non-coding RNA. RefSeq annotates it as other RNA. Lineage: Eukaryota; Viridiplantae; Streptophyta; Magnoliopsida; Brassicales; Brassicaceae. The transcript has a single exon. The record is from RefSeq.
GUCUGCGUCCUCCACGAAAGCCUUGUACUCUCCACCACAAUUUGGAAGGGGAAAGUGAAGUAUAAAGUAGUGCUGUUUUUAAUUUAACUUAAUUGUAUAUACAAUUUGGGAAUGAAUUUUAAUUAGAUAUAACAAUAUAGAAGUAUAUAGAAAGAAAAAAAACGAAGAAGAAGUGGAUAAGAAUCUUCUUCUUACUUUCUUAGUGGUGAAGAAGAAGAAAGAAGAUACUCUUUUGCGUGGAACUAUCCAAUCCUCAACACCUCUCUUUCGUUUCCCCGCCCGCCUCUUUCUCUCUUCUU